UCCUUUAAGAAUAUAUUAAAGGUAAGGCCUGCUCAGUGAACUACUUUAAGGUAGUAUAAACAGCCGCGGUAUUUUAACUGCGCGAAGGUAGCAUAAUUAAUUGUCUUUUAAUUGGUGACUUGUUUGAACGGCUUAAUGAGGGCUAAUCUUUUUUAAACCUUUGUUGAAAUUAUUCUCUAGGGUUAAAAAACCUAGAUUUAAAAAAAAGAAGAGAAGACCCUGUUGAGUUUUACAGUAGAAAUACUGUUUAAAUGGGGCUUUACAAUAUACUGAACUUUGUAUUAGAUCCUAACAAAGCUGAAAAAUUUAUGGCUAAAGAGAUAAACUACCACAGGGAUAACAGGACAAAAUUUGCUAAGAGUACUUAUCUAAGCAAGGAACUGUUACUUCGAUGUUGAAUCAAAGUAAACUUUUAGGCGCAGAAGUUUUUGGAGUGGGUCUGUUCGACCUUUAAAACUUUA
This 461-nucleotide ribosomal RNA is filed under the name Prostheceraeus roseus. RNAcentral's name for it is "partial large subunit ribosomal RNA". It matches the Rfam family "Archaeal large subunit ribosomal RNA", at positions 1921 to 2667 of the family's 2987-position model. The record is from RNAcentral. Lineage: Eukaryota; Metazoa; Platyhelminthes; Polycladida; Euryleptidae.